This 381-nucleotide ribosomal RNA is filed under the name uncultured bacterium. RNAcentral describes it as "bacterial SSU rRNA". It matches the Rfam family "Bacterial small subunit ribosomal RNA", at positions 28 to 424 of the family's 1533-position model. The record is from RNAcentral.
GACGAACGCUGGCGGCGUGCUUAACACAUGCAAGUCAGGGGGCCCGCGAGGGUCACCGGCGAACGGGUGCGUAACACGUGAGCGACCUGCCCUCGAGUGGGGGAUAGCCGGCCCAACGGCCGGGUAAUACCGCAUACGACGGCGGCGGGGCAUCCCGCUGCCGUGAAACCUUCGGGGUUCGAGGAGGGGCUCGCGGCCUAUCAGCUAGUUGGCGGGGUAACGGCCCACCAAGGCGAUGACGGGUAGCUGGUCGAGAGGAUGGCCAGCCACAUUGGGACUGGGAGACGGCCCAGACUCCUACGGGAGGCAGCAGUGGGGAAUCUUGCGCAAUGGCCGAAAGCCUGACGCAGCGACGCCGCGUGAGGGAUGAAGGCCUUGGUU